GCCAACACCACACCCGUGGGCCUUAAAGCAGCCAACAACCAAACGCGUCAAAGCGCACACCAAAAAAUAACCCACCACCACACCAACCCCCAACCACCAACUGAGCCACUCUACCCAACACCUAGAGGAGACACUGUUAAAACUAGUAAUACGAGCCCCCUCUCUCUUGCACACCCUUACACCGGCACGGACCAACCACCGAUAUUUAACAACCCACACCCAAACCCCAACCCACUGUCACCCCAACACAGGAGUGCAUGAAAAGAACUGGCAAAUUGCCGCAAAAGGAACUCGGCUAACCCUGCCCCACCUGUUUACCAAAAACAUGGCCUUUAGCGCCAACAAGUAUUGAAGGUCCCGCCUGCCCAGUGAACCACUUUAAACGGCCGCGGUACUCUAACCGUGCAAAGGUAGCGUAAUCACUUGCCUCCUAAUUAGGGGCUCGUAUGAAAGGCUAAAUGAGGGCCCAACUGUCUCCUGAGGCAAGCCAAUGAAACUGCUCUCUCAGUACAAAAGCUGAGAUAAACACAUAAGACGAGAAGACCCUGUGGAACUUUUUAACAACCCCCACUAAAUCCACCAACACGCCCAUAGUGGGAUACUUUCAGUUGGGGCGACUGCGGAGCACAACAAAACCUCCACGGACCAGGACAAAAUCCACCCAAGGCCUACAAGCCAAAACUACUAUAAACCAAUUGACCCAGCAAUGCUGACCAGCGAACCAAGCUACCCCAGGGAUAACAGCGCCAUCCCCCCUAAGAGUCCCUAUCGCCGGGGGGGUUUACGACCUCGAUGUUGGAUCAGGACGCCCAAGCGGUGUAGCCGCUGCUAAAGGUUCGUUUGUUCAACGACUAACGUCCUACGUGAUCUGAGU
This 874-nucleotide ribosomal RNA is filed under the name Phyllodactylus hispaniolae (Dominican leaf-toed gecko). RNAcentral's name for it is "partial 16S ribosomal RNA". It matches the Rfam family "Bacterial large subunit ribosomal RNA", at positions 1311 to 2610 of the family's 2925-position model. The record is from RNAcentral. Lineage: Eukaryota; Metazoa; Chordata; Lepidosauria; Squamata; Phyllodactylidae.